GUUGUAUGGUUAAGUGACUAAGCGUACACGGUGGAUGCCUGGGCAGUCAGAGGCGAUGAAGGACGUACUAACUUGCGAUAAGCGCAGAUAAGGCAGUAAGAGCCGUUUGAGUCUGCGAUUUCCGAAUGGGGAAACCCAACUGCAUAAGCAGUUACUGUUAACUGAAUACAUAGGUUAACAGAGCAAACCGGGGGAACUGAAACAUCUAAGUACCCCGAGGAGAAGAAAUCAACCGAGAUUCCGGUAGUAGCGGCGAGCGAACCUGGAUUAGCCCUUAAGCACUCGGUGAAGUAGGUGAACAAGCUGGAAAGCUUGGCGAUACAGGGUGAUAGCCCCGUAACCGACGCUUCAUCGAGCGUGAAAUCGAGUAGGGCGGGACACGUGAUAUCCUGUCUGAAUAUGGGGGGACCAUCCUCCAAGGCUAAAUACUCCUGACUGACCGAUAGUGAACCAGUACCGUGAGGGAAAGGCGAAAAGAACCCCUGUGAGGGGAGUGAAAUAGAACCUGAAACCGUGUACGUACAAGCAGUAGGAGCACCUUCGUGGUGUGACUGCGUACCUUUUGUAUAAUGGGUCAGCGACUUAUAUUCAGUGGCAAGGUUAACCGUAUAGGGGAGCCGUAGCGAAAGCGAGUCUUAACUGGGCGCUCAGUCUCUGGAUAUAGACCCGAAACCGGGUGAUCUAGCCAUGGGCAGGUUGAAGGUUGAGUAACAUCAACUGGAGGACCGAACCGACUAAUGUUGAAAAAUUAGCGGAUGACUUGUGGCUAGGGGUGAAAGGCCAAUCAAACUCGGAGAUAGCUGGUUCUCCCCGAAAGCUAUUUAGGUAGCGCCUCGGACGAAUACUACUGGGGGUAGAGCACUGUUAAGGCUAGGGGG
RNAcentral lists this ribosomal RNA (878 nucleotides) under Vibrio cholerae. Its description in RNAcentral is "partial 23S ribosomal RNA". It matches the Rfam family "Bacterial large subunit ribosomal RNA", at positions 1 to 926 of the family's 2925-position model. Lineage: Bacteria; Pseudomonadati; Pseudomonadota; Gammaproteobacteria; Vibrionales; Vibrionaceae. The record is from RNAcentral.